CUUGGUGUAAUGUAAGGGUUAGGUUUAGGGUAAGGGUCAGGUUUAGAUCUAGGGUUAUUAUUAGGGUCAGGGUCAAGAUUAGGGUUUGUUUGAGGUUAGAGGUUAGGUUUAGGGCUCGGAUUAGCAUUAGGUUUAGGGUUUGGAUAAUGACAGGGUUAAGUUCAAUGUUUAGAUGUGGUUUAGUGUAAUGGAUGGGGUAAGGUUAAGCCUAAUGUUUAGCAUAAGGUUUAGGGUUAUCAUUAGGGUAAAGGAUAGGAUUAGACUUAAGAUUAGGGCUAGGGUAUGUAUAGGAUUAGGGCUUUUGUUUGGGUUAUGGUUAGGUUUAAAUUUAGGGUUAAAGCUAGGUUUAGGACUCGAAUUAAGGCUAGGUUUUGGUUUAGGUUAGGGCUAGAGUUGAGGCUAUGGUAAAUGUACAAAUUACGGGUAUGAUUAGCAUAGUUAUACGGUUAGGGUUAGGGCUAGAUCAAGUGUUAGGGUUAGUUUUAUGUUUAUGAUGAUAUUUAGAGCUAGAGUUAGUAUUAGGGUCAGAGUCAGUGUCCGGAUUACUUUUCAGGUUUGACUUAGGACUAGAAUUAGAGAUAGGUUUAGGGCUAGGUGUAAGGUUAGGGUUUGGUUUAGGUUAAGGGUUAAGGUUAUGGUAUUACUCGGUUUUGAUUUGGGGCUAAGGGUAGGUUUAGGGGUAAUUUUAGGAUCAGUGUUAGGGUUAGGGCUAGUGUUAGUGUGCGGUUUAGGCUUAGGUGAUGUUGAGAGCCACAACCAAGUCAAGAUGGUGCCUGGCAUUUUGAAGAAGGAGUGGUUGAGAAGUAACACCAGGAGCCAUUAAGAUGAUGAUAAUUAAGUUUAGCUGUGUAUAAUUAUUAAGAUAAUGACUGAUUGGUGUAACUGGAUGAUGCUAAAUUGAAACAAGAUGUGUAUUCAGUUGUGUAUAUAAACCUCUGCUGUCUGGCAAUAAGGCGGAUCGUGCUACCUCGGGUGCCCACUGCUUUUGAGUUCCCGUUGGUUCUUGCGGAGUUUCCAGGGAGUUUUGGAGAGUUCCCAUGGGGUUCGGUCAAUAAACUAGUUCCUUUUUGAACCUACAAGUGGCUUGUGACCUCCCGGUUAUUUUGUGCCCAGGCAGACUGUGGCAAGGUUUAG
RNAcentral lists this long non-coding RNA (1134 nucleotides) under Marmota monax (woodchuck). Lineage: Eukaryota; Metazoa; Chordata; Mammalia; Rodentia; Sciuridae. The record is from RNAcentral.